This 1410-nucleotide ribosomal RNA is filed under the name alpha proteobacterium IMCC10406. Its description in RNAcentral is "16S ribosomal RNA". It matches the Rfam family "Bacterial small subunit ribosomal RNA". The record is from RNAcentral. Lineage: Bacteria; Pseudomonadati; Pseudomonadota; Alphaproteobacteria.
GAUCAUGGCUCAGAACGUACGCUGGCGGCACGCCUAACACAUGCAAGUCGAACGAAGUAGCAAUACUUAGUGGCAGACGGGUGAGUAACAUGUAGGUAUCUGCCCUUUGGCCUGGAAUAACACGAGGAAACUUGUGCUAAUACCGGAUAAGUCUUUACGGAGAAAGCUUUAUGCACCAUUGGAUGAGCCUGCACUUGAUUAGUUUGUUGGUGGGGUAAUGGCCUACCAAGACUGUGAUCAAUAGCUGAUUUGAGAGGAUGAUCAGCCACAUUGGGACUGAGACACGGCCCAAACUCCUACGGGAGGCAGCAGUGGGGAAUCUUGCACAAUGGAGGAAACUCUGAUGCAGCGAUGCCGCGUGAGUGAAGAAGGCCCUUGGGUUGUAAAGCUCUUUCGUCGGGGAAGAAAAUGACUGUACCCGAAUAAGAAGGUCCGGCUAACUUCGUGCCAGCAGCCGCGGUAAUACGAAGGGACCUAGCGUAGUUCGGAAUUACUGGGCUUAAAGAGUUCGUAGGUGGUUGAAAUAGUUGGUGGUGAAAUCCCAGAGCUUAACUCUGGAACUGCCAUCAAAACUUUUCAGCUAGAGUAUGAUAGAGGAAAGCAGAAUUUCUAGUGUAGAGGUGAAAUUCGUAGAUAUUAGAAAGAAUACCAAUUGCGAAGGCAGCUUUCUGGAUCAUUACUGACACUGAGGAACGAAAGCAUGGGUAGCGAAGAGGAUUAGAUACCCUCGUAGUCCAUGCCGUAAACGAUGUGUGUUAGACGUUGGAAAUUUAUUUUCAGUGUCGCAGGGAAACCGAUAAACACACCGCCUGGGGAGUACGACCGCAAGGUUAAAACUCAAAUGAAUUGACGGGGACCCGCACAAGUAGUGGAGCAUGUGGUUUAAUUCGAAGAUACGCGCAGAACCUUACCAACACUUGACAUGUUCGUCGCGACUCUAAGAGAUUAGAGUUUUCGGUUCGGCCGGACGAAACACAGGUGCUGCAUGGCUGUCGUCAGCUCGUGUCGUGAGAUGUUGGGUUAAGUCCCGCAACGAGCGCAACCCUCACUUUUAGUUGCCAUCAUUAAGUUGGGCACUCUGAAAGAACUGCCAGUGAUAAGCUGGAGGAAGGUGGGGAUGACGUCAAGUCCUCAUGGCCCUUACGUGUUGGGCUACACACGUGCUACAAUGGUAUCUACAACAGGAAGCAAGACUGCGAAGUUAAGCAAAUCCCUAAAAGAUACCUCAGUUCGGAUUGCACUCUGCAACUCGAGUGCAUGAAGCUGGAAUUACUAGUAAUCGUGGAUCAGCGUGCCACGGUGAAUGCGUUCCCGGGUCUUGUACACACCGCCCGUCACACCAUGGGAGUUGGUUCUACCUUNAAGGCAAGGUUUUAAACCCUUGACCACGGUAUAGUCAGCGACUGGGGU